This 189-nucleotide ribosomal RNA is filed under the name uncultured bacterium. RNAcentral's name for it is "partial 16S ribosomal RNA". It matches the Rfam family "Bacterial small subunit ribosomal RNA", at positions 338 to 524 of the family's 1533-position model. The record is from RNAcentral.
CCUACGGGAGGCAGCAGUGGGGAAUAUUGGACAAUGGGCGCAAGCCUGAUCCAGCCAUGCCGCGUGCAGGAUGACGGUCCUAUGGAUUGUAAAUUGCUUUUAUACGAGAAGAAACACUCCUUCGUGAAGGAGCUUGACGGUAUCGUAAGAAUAAGGAUCGGCUAACUCCGUGCCAGCAGCCGCGGUAAU